UAUAUAUCAUAGACUAUACCUGAAAUCAUAGAUCGAACCGUGCAUUUUCUUCAUGCAUCUAAGAUGACGGAUAAGAUUGUCUUUUCUACAGAUUGAACUUCCUUUUGGAAUUCUGUUGAUAAACUAAAAUAAGAAAAAAUUAAAUGUGCUAUUACCUGCCACGGAAGUAAUAGCUUAUAAUGGGGUAAAGGGAAACCGCCGGAUCGCCACCAUAAAUUCCAUCGAUCUUUGAAUACAUUAUUUUCGCCAGUAUAUUCUCUCCAACCACGUUCCGUACAAACCUGUGAUCAAAAUUAAAUUUUUUUUAAAUAAAAAAAAAAUCUUGUGAAUGCGUGAUUCGAAUGAAUGAAACAAUAGAUAUAUUUUACAUUCUACAAUUAGGAAACGUUUAUACAUGAGAAAAUAACAGAAAUGUUGAUUUAUUUGUCGUGUUAUUAGAGCAUUAAGAAUGGUUACUUCAAAAGUGAACCAAGGCCUCUAAUUACAAUUAAAUUCAAGUAUAUCUCUUUUCACUGUUACGGUAGCCUACUUUUAUUAUUCUUUUCUUAUAUCAUCGAUUCGCUGUGAAAGGUCAUCGACCACAUUUACACCCUGUUCUUAUAACCUGAAUUAUUUCUAUUCAUCAAUAAGAGUUUGAUUUCAUCCAUAGAAAUAUUAAAUUUAUUAUUAAAUUUAUAUCAAAGUUAAAAAUAAAAAAAAGUAUUUUCAAUUAUAUUGCAUAUAUGUACUUA
Long non-coding RNA from Apis laboriosa (Himalayan honeybee), 731 nucleotides. RefSeq lists it as uncharacterized. The transcript has 3 exons. The record is from RefSeq and is a predicted model, not a curated record. Lineage: Eukaryota; Metazoa; Arthropoda; Insecta; Hymenoptera; Apidae.